This 466-nucleotide ribosomal RNA is filed under the name uncultured bacterium. Its description in RNAcentral is "partial 16S ribosomal RNA". It matches the Rfam family "Bacterial small subunit ribosomal RNA", at positions 29 to 507 of the family's 1533-position model. The record is from RNAcentral.
ACGCACGCUGGCGGCGUGCUUAACACCUGCAAGUCGAACGGAAAGGCCCUGCUUUUGUGGGGUGCUCGAGUGGCGAACGGGUGAGUAACACGUGAGUAACCUGCCCUUGACUUUGGGAUAACUUCAGGAAACUGGGGCUAAUACCGGAUAGGAGCUCCUGCUGCAUGGUGGGGGUUGGAAAGUUUCGGCGGUUGGGGAUGGACUCGCGGCUUAUCAGCUUGUUGGUGGGGUAGUGGCUUACCAAGGCUUUGACGGGUAGCCGGCCUGAGAGGGUGACCGGCCACAUUGGGACUGAGAUACGGCCCAGACUCCUACGGGAGGCAGCAGUGGGGAAUAUUGCACAAUGGGCGGAAGCCUGAUGCAGCAACGCCGCGUGCGGAUGACGGCCUUCGGGUUGUAAACCGCUUUCGCCUGUGACGAAGCGUGAGUGACGGUAAUGGGUAAAGAAGCACCGGCUAACUACGUG